UGCCAGCAGCCGCGGUAAUACGUAGGUGGCAAGCGUUAUCCGGAAUUAUUGGGCGUAAAGCGCGCGCAGGCGGUUUCUUAAGUCUGAUGUGAAAUCCCUCGGCUUAACCGGGGAACUGCGUCUGAUACUGGUUGGCUUGAGUUUGGGAGAGGGACGCGGAAUUCCAGGUGUAGCGGUGAAAUGCGUAGAUAUCUGGAGGAACACCGGUGGCGAAGGCGGCGUCCUGGACCAAUACUGACACUGAGGAGCGAAAGCCAGGGGAGCAAACGGGAUUAGAUA
RNAcentral lists this ribosomal RNA (279 nucleotides) under uncultured bacterium. Its description in RNAcentral is "partial 16S ribosomal RNA". It matches the Rfam family "Bacterial small subunit ribosomal RNA", at positions 506 to 784 of the family's 1533-position model. The record is from RNAcentral.